This is a non-coding RNA of Phrynosoma platyrhinos (Desert horned lizard), 72 nucleotides long. The record is from the annotation of a GenBank genome assembly. NCBI's taxonomy places the organism in Eukaryota, Metazoa, Chordata, Lepidosauria, Squamata, Phrynosomatidae.
GCCAGCGUGGUGUAGUGGUUUGAGUGUUGGACUAUGACUCUGGAGACCAGGGUUCAAUUCCCAGCUCAGCCA